CGGCUACCCGGGGAGCGGCAGGUGAGGCCGCGCCGGGCGUGUGGCAGCGCCCCGGCUGGCCUCUGGCGGGGAGCCCGAGACAGUCGCCUGCUGCCGGGACGAAGGGGCGUGGGUGGACUCAGUCUCCAGGAGGCGGUCCGGAACCCUGCCGGCCCUCUGCCCCAGAUGUCAGCCGGGAGACAGCUCCCUGCCGUGCUGGAACCAGACCGUUGAUGGCGGGCCCCGGUGGGUGAUGUAUGUAGCCCCUCAAAACAGGCUGAAGAGCGGCGGCAAGAAAGGAGUUGGUCUCCGCAAACCGCCCGAAGUCAAGGAAGAUUUUGGAUAAAUCAUUAUCAAGGAAGCUAAGGACACCUGGGUUGUAUUGAAAGCACACCAGCCAUGAAAUCAGAAGGCCAGAAUUUGAAUUCCAGUUACUCACAAAUAUUGUAAGGAUUUGGGAAAUUUAAAGAACUAGAAGGCCCAAAGAAGAGAUUUAACCAAAGAACCAAAAUCAGAGAAAGUGAAUUUGGGAAUCUAAGUAACUGAGAAAUCAAAUCCAUUCUUUCUGAUAUUCCAUUGUUUUCUCUGCUCAUGGAUUCUCACCAAAGGACAAGCAAGGAUCUCAGCACACUUAAAUGUCACUUAGAUUCUUACAUCACAGCUGUACCAUAAGGAGUGUGAAUUGCUACUGGGCCACCAAUGUAAUCUCUACAGCUGACAUGGUGAGAACUCAUGACCUAGAGAUCUAGAGUUGCAUGCUCUACUGAGUGAGCCAGCCAGGUGCCCCUGAACCAAGAAAAGAAAACCAGAAACUAAUAAAGGACUUUAAGAAGUAUAUUCCUCAAGCUUGGAAGCCCCACACAGGCAGUCCCUGUUGUCCUGCUCAAAGAGGGACCCACCCGGGGGGAAGCCAAGCUGUGCUCCUUGAUGCCAGCCUGGAAGAAUUCCCUCAGUUUCAUCUCUUGGAAAUCUCAAGUUUGUGCAAGGUUCUCAGCAAAUGACGCUGCUCCAUGAAACCCACUUGCAGUCUCCAGCCAGCUCACAUGGAGUCAGUCUGCGAACAGAGGAACUGGACAGGGUCACACCUGUGAUUUUC
Molecule: long non-coding RNA, 1075 nt
Organism: Lontra canadensis (Northern American river otter)
Lineage: Eukaryota; Metazoa; Chordata; Mammalia; Carnivora; Mustelidae
Exons: 7
Source: RefSeq, a predicted model, not a curated record